Pelobates cultripes (western spadefoot toad) is the source of this 302-nucleotide non-coding RNA. The record is from the annotation of a GenBank genome assembly. NCBI's taxonomy places the organism in Eukaryota, Metazoa, Chordata, Amphibia, Anura, Pelobatidae.
GUCCCGGCGUUAAUGGGCUUAAACGCCUUUACAGCCACCCACGUUUAAGCCCACCCACGUUUCCCCCGAUCCCUCCCAAACUGCAGAUCACGGUGGGGGGACCUGCCUGGUCCCCUGUGGCCAAUCCAUAGUGAUCUGCAGUUUGUGAUCCCAGUGACAGGCAGUCACUGCGAUCACUGUUACAAUGUGUCAGCCAAUGAUUUUAAAUUACUGGCUGACACAUUGUCUCUACCCCUCUCCUCACCUCACUUCAAUCUGAGAGAGAGAGGCAGAGAGAUCGUUGCUGGAUAGCCCUGUAGGAG